This 1164-nucleotide long non-coding RNA is filed under the name Equus asinus (donkey). RNAcentral describes it as "lncRNA (ENSEASG00005030884.1)". The record is from RNAcentral. Lineage: Eukaryota; Metazoa; Chordata; Mammalia; Perissodactyla; Equidae.
AUGACCUUUUAAAUGAAGCUGAACCUCACCUGUCUUGAAUAACACUUGCUGUUUACUGAGAAGUAGCCCUGCUCAUUUCUCUUUGGCGUUCUCUCUGGCCACCAGGUUUUCUGGGACUUGGUCUUUAUUUUAAACAGUUUGUAGAUAGAGACGAUGGAAUUUUGAAGUUAAUAGAAAGAAGCUGCAGUGACACUAUUAAUCCAAGAAAAAGUCUGCCAAACCUUACUUUACACUUUGAGAAAAUGUUUUGCUUGUUUUCAGUCUGGCCUCAUCACAGUCAUUUUGAACACACACACACACACACACACACAUACACUGUAGUGGGUUGAAUGGUGGCCCCUCAAAAGAUACAUUCACCUGGAACUUGUGAAUGUGACUCUAUUUAGAAAAAUGGUUUUUGCAGAUCUAAUAAGGAUCCUGAAAUGAGAUCAACCUGGAUUAUCCAGGUGGGCCCUAUAGCUAAUGACAAGUGUAGUAUAAGAGACAAGAGAAGACACGGGAGGGCAGAAGGCAAUGUGAAGACAGAGGCAAAGACUGGAGUGAUGCAACUGCAAGCCAAAGAAUCCCUGGAGCUGUCAGAGAUUGGAAGAGGCGAGGAAGCUUCUCCCCUGAGUCUUCAGAGGGAGCACAAGCCUGCCGACACGGUGAUUUUGGACUUCUGGCCUCCAGAACGAUUCCUGCUGCGCAUCGACACCAGACUGCUCUGGGCACCUCAAGUUCAACAGAUUUAAUUGGAGCCCCUCGAUUUCCUCCACAUCCAUUUCCCCUUCAAAGACCCCUUUCUCAGUUAAGGUAUCUUCCUUACCUACUCCCCAGGACUCAAAACCAAGGUGUUACUUUCGGUGCCUCCUCUGUCAUUCCCACAUCCAAACCAUUGCCAAGUUCGGAUGAUUAUAUUUCCAUGACUUGCUUCACUAUGGUUCCCUUCUUCCCCAUUUAUGCUGCCAUUGUCUUAGUUUGCACCUUCAUUAUGUCUGAACUGUUCACCCUACCACCAGCCUCUCCUGCUUUCAUUUCGUCCUACUCACGGAUGCCCAACCCAUUCUCCCAAAGCUCAGAUCUAAUCAUGUUUCUUCAAGGCAAACAACAACGAAAACCAACCAAACCAAAGACAACCACAACAAAACCACGUACACUGCCCCCGACACACACGCACAUGCACAU